This 484-nucleotide ribosomal RNA is filed under the name uncultured bacterium. RNAcentral's name for it is "partial 16S ribosomal RNA". It matches the Rfam family "Bacterial small subunit ribosomal RNA", at positions 30 to 507 of the family's 1533-position model. The record is from RNAcentral.
AUUGAACGCUGGCGGCAGGCCUAACACAUGCAAGUCGAGCGGAUGAAGGGAGCUUGCUCCUGGAUUCAGCGGCGGACGGGUGAGUAAUGCCUAGGAAUCUGCCUGGUAGUGGGGGAUAACGUCCGGAAACGGGCGCUAAUACCGCAUACGUCCUGAGGGAGAAAGUGGGGGAUCUUCGGACCUCACGCUAUCAGAUGAGCCUAGGUCGGAUUAGCUAGUUGGUGGGGUAAAGGCCUACCAAGGCGACGAUCCGUAACUGGUCUGAGAGGAUGAUCAGUCACACUGGAACUGAGACACGGUCAAGACUACUACGGGAGGCAGCAGUGGGGAAUAUUGGACAAUGGGCGAGAGCCUGAUCCAGCCAUGCCGCGUGUGUGAAGAAGGUCUUCGGAUUGUAAAGCACUUUAAGUUGGGAGGAAGGGCAGUAAGUUAAUACCUUGCUGUUUUGACGUUACCAACAGAAUAAGCACCGGCUAACUUCGUG